RNAcentral lists this ribosomal RNA (253 nucleotides) under uncultured bacterium. Its description in RNAcentral is "partial 16S ribosomal RNA". It matches the Rfam family "Bacterial small subunit ribosomal RNA", at positions 524 to 776 of the family's 1533-position model. The record is from RNAcentral.
UACGUAGGGUGCAAGCGUUAAUCGGAAUUACUGGGCGUAAAGCGUGCGCAGGCGGUUGUGUAAGACAGAUGUGAAAUCCCCGGGCUCAACCUGGGAACUGCAUUUGUGACUGCACGGCUGGAGUGCGGCAGAGGGGGAUGGAAUUCCGCGUGUAGCAGUGAAAUGCGUAGAUAUGCGGAGGAACACCGAUGGCGAAGGCAGCCCCCUAGGCCAACACUGACGCUCAGGCACGAAAGCGUGGGGAGCAAACAGG